RNAcentral lists this ribosomal RNA (254 nucleotides) under uncultured bacterium. RNAcentral's name for it is "partial 16S ribosomal RNA". It matches the Rfam family "Bacterial small subunit ribosomal RNA", at positions 524 to 776 of the family's 1533-position model. The record is from RNAcentral.
UACGGGGGGAGCAAGCGUUGUUCGGAUUUACUGGGCGUAAAGGGCGCGUAGGCGGCCAGCACAAGUCAGUUGUGAAAUCUCCGAGCUUAACUCGGAAAGGUCAACUGAUACUGUGCGGCUAGAGUGCAGAAGGGGCAACUGGAAUUCUUGGUGUAGCGGUGAAAUGCGUAGAUAUCAAGAGGAACACCUGCGGCGAAGGCGGAUUGCUGGGCUGACACUGACGCUGAGGCGCGAAAGCUAGGGGAGCGAACGGG